This 229-nucleotide ribosomal RNA is filed under the name uncultured bacterium. RNAcentral describes it as "partial 16S ribosomal RNA". It matches the Rfam family "Bacterial small subunit ribosomal RNA", at positions 568 to 796 of the family's 1533-position model. The record is from RNAcentral.
UGCGUAGGCGGACCAGUAAGUCAGUGGUGAAAUCUUUCGGCUCAACCGAGAAACUGCCAUUGAUACUGUUGGUCUUGAGUUCGGUAGAGGUAGGCGGAAUGUGUAAUGUAGCGGUGAAAUGCUUAGAUAUUACACAGAACACCAAUUGCGUAGGCAGCUUACUAUGCCGACACUGAGGCUGAGGCACGAAAGCGUGGGGAGCGAACAGGAUUAGAUACCCUGGUAGUCC